Molecule: non-coding RNA, 181 nt
Filed under: Verrucomicrobiota bacterium JB024
Lineage: Bacteria; Pseudomonadati; Verrucomicrobiota
Description: 6S RNA
Rfam family: 6S / SsrS RNA
About the family: E. coli 6S RNA was the first non coding RNA to be sequenced, but its function was unknown until recently.
Source: RNAcentral
AAUCCUCUUCUGUGUACGAAACCUAACGUCUGCUCUUAUCCUUUUCUCAUAUAUUGGGAGCUCGAGCCCGACCUGUGGAUGUCAGGCCGUAAACCGGAAGACAGAAGCCAGUUGGAGAGCACCCACCUUAAACUGAUUAGGUUAACAGAGCACACUCUACUUCGGCACGUGCAGAGGAUUC